Molecule: ribosomal RNA, 128 nt
Filed under: uncultured bacterium
Lineage: Bacteria
Description: partial 16S ribosomal RNA
Rfam family: Bacterial small subunit ribosomal RNA
Source: RNAcentral
UAGGGGAAUCUUCCACAAUGGACGAAAGUCUGAUGGAGCACCCGCCGCGUGAGUGAAGAAGGUUCUCGGAUCGUAAAACUCUGUUGUGAGGGAAGAACAAGUACCGGAGUAUUCCCCGGUACCUUGAC